Molecule: RNA transcript, 3134 nt
Organism: Oryzias melastigma (Indian medaka)
Lineage: Eukaryota; Metazoa; Chordata; Actinopteri; Beloniformes; Adrianichthyidae
Exons: 6
Source: RefSeq, a predicted model, not a curated record
CCCAUAGACUUAGGGGGGUACCUCUUGGGUUCUGAGUCAUACGAAGGACCACCAGUUUGAAAUGACACAUUUCUUAGUUCGCCUUUAGUUCUACAUUAUUAAUAAUGAACGUGGUGACCCCUGCUCUAGACGAUACUUUUCAUUAAAUCUAAUUUUGUCCAUACCUAUAUUUUCCUUUCAGCUGUAUUGAUUUUGGUUGUACAGAUAUUUAGUAAUGAAUCAAAUAAAAAUGCUUUGAGAAAUAAAACAUUUGAAAUACUUUUAACCUUACUUUAAAUACUGCCUGAAGCAGCACCGAUCUCCUAGUUUUUGUGUAAUCUUUUAUUUGUGCGACAUAAUUGUAAUUUAUUUUUGUUUUCUUUUAUUUUAAUCAGCUGCUGCGUCCUUAACGUUUUAUUUUGAAGUUGACUUCCUCUCAGCUUCCCAAGUUGCGUUAGCCCCGCCCACACGAAGGCCACGGAGAUGACGAGCUCCUCUGGGACGGAGCUGCUUCUGUUAGAUGAGUUUAUCGGCUAAAAUAAAAUAGAAACAUGUAAAACGUAUGUAUACUUUUAGGAGAUCAAAAGGAGCACGCGACCCGGAAAAAGGAACGUUUGGGCGGGAAUUUGGCUGGGAGCUUGAGCUGACAUCGCGAGAACAUCGCGUGCACCUAGCUUGAAAAGUCGUUUCACCCGCCUUUUUUUUUUUUUUUUAAAAGGAAAAUUUAUAAAAAAGAAUAAUAUAUAUAUAUAUUUCCAUUUCAAGAGUGAGAUUCACCAACGAAGAACAUUCAAGAUCUGCUGGGAUCCGAUUCUGGACCCUUCUUUGAAGCUCAGGAUUAGAACCCAUCAGAUGAUGGUGAGCAUGGAACCGAGGAUGCUGUCCAAUGAGAAUGAGGUGGAGGAGGGUUUGUCUAACCAUCUGGGAGGUGGAGAAGGUGGAGAAGAAGACGAUGGUGAUUGGCUGGAGAAUGCAGCUGAUCUUCACAGCUUCACAAAAGUGAAAAGUCAACCGACCCUGACAGCAAGACCAGGAUGGUUCUCCUCUACUGCUGGAGACCCGACGUACAUCUGUAAGGGAGCAAAGAGCGCCAUCUUCAGGCCCUCCAGCAAAUUCACACCGUUCCUCCAAACCAUCCUCAAACCCAGGAAUGGCGUGAGCCGGGUCCUCCAACACCUCGUUAGGAAGACGGACCAGAAAAGUAUUCACACUCAGUCAUUUCUGAAGAACACCGUACCCACUGUGAAGCAUGGAGGUGGAAGCAUCAUGAUGCGAGGCUGGACAGGACGACUGAUCCAUACACCUUCCAUCAUUCGGAGUACUGAGGACGGCUGGAUCUUCCACCAUGAUGACGACCCAAACACAUCACCUGGGCCAUGGAGGCGGGGCUUCACAGAGUGUCGGGGUUCUGGAGUGGCCCAGCCAAUCUCUGGACCUCAGUCCAACACAGAUCCUCCAGAACACGUGUCAAAUUUACUCCCGGUAUUUUCCGGUAAAGCCUCCUGAGUCUUCAUCCUUCAGAAGUGGUCAGACUGUAAACCUGUCCUGGAGUCUGUGCGGCCUCAGCUCCUCUUCCUCGUGCAGACCCUUCCCCUCCUCUGCAGCCGGUGCUCCAGGACGCUCCGGGCUGAAAGUAGGCCAGGAUUACUCCUGCUGGCUGGUCCUCAGUGAAGCGUGCGCUGCAUCUGUGUGUGCAUGCGGGCCGGCCAGCCAGCAGUCAGGAGAGAGCGGCGCAUAUGGAGCCUCAGCUUUGGGCCAGCAGCUUGUGGGAAAGAAAGAAAUCAAACAUGGAUCCCGUGGCGCUCCUUCACCUGUGCAGGUGUGUGAAAUUCGUCCUUUGAGGAGCUCAGGAUCAUUCUGUGGUUUGAACCCCCCAGUCCAACCCCCCCGAGGCUGAGUCAAGCAGGGACACACCAGCUCCUGUUUUUAGUCUUUGGAAUGACUCCGCCUGGAUUUGAACUCCUGACCUUCCAGACUGAGGGCGGACACUCUACCACAGGGCCACUGAGCUGGUGUAGGAAGCUGUUUCUGAAGCUUCGGCACCGGAUCAAACAGACUUCUGUGAGGUGAGAGUCCUGAGCGCUGUUCUCGUCUCCUGGAACGUCGUUGAAGUUCAGACAUCCCUUCAGCUGCUGUCUUUGUCCUGAUCUGGAGUCAAACCUUCAUCUGGAGAGACGGAUGUGUGAAGGUCAACAACAGUUGAACCAAAGCAAAGUUUGUGUGAAGCCCCGCCCCUUCAGCGCUUCACAUCCACCCCUUGAUGCUCUUGAAGUGUCGGCGCAGCACUUAGGAAUUAGGUCUUCACAUCCUGGUAUGGUUGUUAACCUUCAUAAUUUCCACCUCACACAAUGAACCCCAUUUCAAAUCCCCAAAGCUGCAGCUGUAAUUGUUCUCUUAAUUAGCUUGUAGAGCAGUGCUUAUGGCUGCAGAGGAGCGCCGGCGUGGCGUCUGUUCUCUGUCCUCUGCACGCCGCCGGGCCUGGAGGAAGCGGCGCUGUAUCUGUGAGCACUGGGAGCUCCGCAGGGAUUACGGCGCCCGUCUGACGCCAGAAGAACCGUCUGUGCUGAGCGUGACGUCAGCCUGAGCUCAUGUCUGACGUCCGGCAGCCUUCACCUGUGGAGCUGAUGUCUGGAGAGCAUCGCAGGUUCAGUCGGGACAAAAACAUCUGAGCUGCAACCAGACAUGAAAUCAGAACCAGAUCUGUAGUUCGGUGUGAACAGAACUGACAUUAGAUGUACGGUCCAGUUAGAUCAACUGUUUAGUGGCUGUCUUUGGGUUUACUGACAUUACUGGAGAUGAUCAAUAACGCCUGUUCUUUGUCUCAACUGCGACCGUUAACGUGACCAAUGCGAAUCAGCUGAUUCUGACGCGCGAAGAAACGUUUCAUAUCAGCUUCUUCUGUUCUAACAACCAUUUUCUCUGGAAUGACCAUUUCACAUCAACGGUUGAAGAGUUUCAGCCGUCAAAUGUAAAUAUUGGAGCCAGACCCUGAAGUGAAAGGGUUAACCUCCAACACGUGUCUCACACUGACUCACUGACUAUUGCAGCAACACACCACAAUAAAAGCAUGGAGUUUUAUUUUGAAAGUGCAGCUGUAAAGGACAGUUCUGCUCUCAUUGAGCGUCCCUUUAAAUAAAGUGGUAAAUGUUUCAAAA